Molecule: long non-coding RNA, 1093 nt
Filed under: Melopsittacus undulatus (budgerigar)
Lineage: Eukaryota; Metazoa; Chordata; Aves; Psittaciformes; Psittaculidae
Description: lncRNA (ENSMUNG00000018855.1)
Source: RNAcentral
GUUUUUAGAAAGUUUUGGCUGAAACACUUCAGCCAUGUCUGGCACUGCAGUUCCAACAAUUUUGUUUUGCUCUUGUCAAAAAGAAAUGAAAAGGGCUUCUUCUCUUGGGAAGCUCUGGCUUGCUUUGGAGACUGGUCUCGAGACUGGGCACAGCAGCUGCUGUCAUGCUCCCUAUGUGCCUUUUGCUGGCAUAGGAAUAAGCCUUUGACACAUCUCAGCCUGCGAGGGCUGGGGAAGACUUGUCAGGUCCCAGAGCACAGCCUUGUGGGGAGCCUCUCUUCCCCAGCAUGCCCCCUUUCCCCCAGCUCCCCGGGUGCUCUGUGUCAGCCAGCUCCCCUGCUCCCACCACGGGUGUGCUCCACAACCAGGCUGCGAGGCUUCCCUUCCUCUCAGUGCCCACCGGCUGCAACAGCACAUACUGGGCUGCACUGAGUGGGCAGUGAGUGGGGCCACCUGCGCCUGGUGCUAUGGCCACGCUGCACUCAUGGAGAGGCCCUUUGGGCAAGGUACAGCCGGAGGACCAUGCCUGGGGCACUUGUGCGGCUGCACCAGCAUCCCCAGAGCUGCACCAGCAUCCCCAGCAGCUGCCAGACCCACUCAGGUCCUACUUGCUCUGGUAAAACCAGGCAGCAGCUCUCACCUCUGGUCCGCCCCGGUGGCAGGCAGCAGCUGAGGCUGCGGCCAGACUGGAGGGGUCUUUGCACAACCUGGUUUAGUGGAAGGUGUCCCUGCCCAUGGAAGGGGGUUGGCUCUGGAUGAUCUUUAAGGUCCCUUCCAACCCAGACCACUUUAUGACUCUUUGGGGACCUGGCCGGCUUUGCCCUUGCACCUACACCCCUGGGGAAUGUGGGAACCGUUUUACCUCCCGGUUAUUAUUCCCCGGGUAAGAAACACGGGGCUUUUCCUACUCCGGCCUCAGGCGGCGGCCGGGACACACCGCGGUUGGAGGACAGGCGCAAGGGCUCGGCAAGGGUACGGGGCAGCUCCGGUCCCUGCCCCGCCGGUCCCUGCCGCGGCCGCUCCUGGGAGAUGUAGUUUGUGGCGCCCUGCCGCCCGGAGCCAUGGCCGCCCUGUGAGCAUUUGGAGCAUGUGA